RNAcentral lists this ribosomal RNA (796 nucleotides) under uncultured Glomeromycotina. RNAcentral's name for it is "SSU rRNA". It matches the Rfam family "Eukaryotic small subunit ribosomal RNA", at positions 314 to 1114 of the family's 1831-position model. Lineage: Eukaryota; Fungi; Glomeromycota. The record is from RNAcentral.
AUCAACUUUCGAUGGUAGGAUAGAGGCCUACCAUGGUGGUAACGGGUAACGGGGUGUUAGGGCACGACACCGGAGAGGGAGCUGAGAAACGGCUACCACAUCCAAGGAUGGCAGCAGGCGCGCAAAUUACCCAAUCCCGACACGGGGAGGUAGUGACAAUAAAUAACAAUACGGGGUUCUUUCGGAUUUCGUAAUUGGAAUGAGUUCAAUUUAAAUCUCUUAACGAGGAACAAUUGGAGGGCAAGUCUGGUGCCAGCAGCCGCGGUAAUUCCAGCUCCAAUAGCGUAUAUUAAAGUUGCUGCAGUUAAAAAGCUCGUAGUUGAAUUUCGGGACUAAUAUGUCGGUCGUGCCUCGGUACGUACUGGCUUAUUGGUUUCUCCUUUCUGAAGAACCAUGAUGUCAUUUAUUUGGUGUCGUGGGGAAUUAGGACUGUUACUUUGAAAAAAUUAGAGUGUUUAAAGCAGGCUCACGCUUGAAUACAUUAGCAUGGAAUAAUGAAAUAGGACGUUUGAUUCUAUUUUGUUGGUUUCUAGGAUCGACGUAAUGAUUAAUAGGGAUAGUUGGGGGCAUUAGUAUUCAAUUGUCAGAGGUGAAAUUCUUGGAUUUAUUGAAGACUAACUACUGCGAAAGCAUUUGCCAAGGAUGUUUUCAUUAAUCAAGAACGAAAGUUAGGGGAUCGAAGACGAUCAGAUACCGUCGUAGUCUUAACCAUAAACUAUGCCGACUAGGGAUCGGAUGAUGUUAAUUUUUUAAUGACUCAUUCGGCGCCUUACGGGAAACCAAAGUGUUUGGGUUC